RNAcentral lists this ribosomal RNA (253 nucleotides) under uncultured prokaryote. RNAcentral describes it as "partial 16S ribosomal RNA". It matches the Rfam family "Bacterial small subunit ribosomal RNA", at positions 525 to 777 of the family's 1533-position model. The record is from RNAcentral.
ACGGAGGGUGCGAGCGUUAUCCGGAAUUACUGGGUUUAAAGGGUGCGUAGGCGGCGCGGUAAGUCGGGUGUGAAAUCUCGGGGCUUAACUCCGAAACCGCAUUCGAUACUGCCGUGCUUGAGGACUGGAGAGGAGACUGGAAUUUACGGUGUAGCGGUGAAAUGCGUAGAUAUCGUAAGGAAGACCAGUGGCGAAGGCGGGUCUCUGGACAGUUCCUGACGCUGAGGCACGAAGGUCAGGGGAGCAAACGGGA